This is a non-coding RNA of Leptonychotes weddellii (Weddell seal), 1469 nucleotides long. The record is from RefSeq and is a predicted model, not a curated record. NCBI's taxonomy places the organism in Eukaryota, Metazoa, Chordata, Mammalia, Carnivora, Phocidae.
AAAAGCCAAAGCCCAGCCAAGAUCAGUAGCCAUUCCAGCAUGUGUGGAGGAGAGUGAGGUCACCCGUCCUCAGCUUGGGGUUUGCUUUGCCUUACUGCCUAGAGCCAAUUCUUGAUUUCCAGUGUGGGCUGAGGAUCCAGUCAGUCAGAAGCCUAGCUCUGGGUCUACCUGUGUGGGCGCUGCUGAUAGGGAUGAGCUAGUGCUCUGGGGCGGCUGGGGCCCCUCCCCACUGCCCAGGCAGCCAUGCUGGGGAGCUUGUGGAAAUGCCUGCCACCUUCCCCUGCUGGGCUUGCCUGAGAGGUUCUGAGUGGCUGGAAGGGGAAAACAAGUGUCGAUAUGUUGGAGAAUAGAGACAGAGCACCCUCAGUCCAGUGAGUUCCAAGACUAGAGCUCACCAGCAGAGAGAGAAUUCCCUGGUGAACGGACCAGCUUUUCUUCUUCCCAGAUCCAGAUUCUCUUGAGAAAUUGGCAGAUCCGGCGUUCCGGGUUCCUGUCCCCUCCCAGCAGCUGUCUUGGUGCCACACAGCAGGAACUCCACAGGCCUCUCCUGACCAGCCCCAGCGAUUUGUCAGUUUGAGCCCACCUCAAACUGACAUUUUGGUGCAUAGCCUCAGAGUUCCCGAUUUGUCUUACUCUGCAGGAGAGAUUGGAGCUGAGGUAAGUGACCUCCUUUUCCUCUUUUUCUCAUUUUUUAUUUAACUUCUGCCCCAGUGGAAAUAUUCCAUCCCAUCGAGGUGAAAUCCAUUUCCUGUGCUCCCCAUAUCCUCCCUUGAUACGCCAACAUGCUGCUCAUUUUCUUCACAGUCAGAAUAAAACCAUCAGCCCUGCUUUCCCCUCAAGCUGCUAUCCCAGUUCUCUCCGUCAUCUGUUUCGAGAUGUGUCUAUAUUCAUUGCCUCUGUUCCCAUUCACUAUCUUCUCAGGCCCUUCUCCGUCCUCGACUCCCAUGUUCUAAGCUUAGUGACAUGUUCGGUUUUCAUUCGCUUUACCUCUUAACGUCAUUUUGCAUUGUUAAUUACAAUCUUGAAAUGCUUCUUUUAGUUUUGACUAUGCUGUAAAAUCUUGGCCUUCUGAUUAUUCCUUCUCUGCCUCCUCUUCUGGUUGCCUGGAUAUAGGAUUACCCCAGGCCUUAUCCUGGGCCCUCGUCCCUCCACGUUCCUACUCGGGUGCCUCCCCCAGUCCCUUGUCCCUGAGCUCCAGGCCCACAAUCCCAUCUACCUGCAGGAUGUUCUGCAAGUCCUCUGAUUUAAGCCCAUCUCAAACUUUGCCGUCACGUUUGUCAUGAUGACAUCAUCUUUUAAUGGUAUCACUUUUCUGUUAGUCACCAAGGCAUGAGCUUGGUUUUGUCUGACGCCUUCCCUUGGCAACAGCCAGUCCGAGUGGAAGGUGCAUUCGUCUCCCCGCUGCUAUAAUCAGAAUACCACAGACUGGGCGGUGGAAUGUGUGUGGGACUAAGCAGCAGCAAUUUAUU